This is a small nucleolar RNA of Amaranthus tricolor (Joseph's coat), 96 nucleotides long. RefSeq annotates it as small nucleolar RNA Z266. NCBI's taxonomy places the organism in Eukaryota, Viridiplantae, Streptophyta, Magnoliopsida, Caryophyllales, Amaranthaceae. The record is from RefSeq and is a predicted model, not a curated record. The transcript has a single exon.
AUCUGGCAAGAAUGAUGAUAUAUUUAUCAGUAUGAAGGAUGCAUUUCCUUGUGAACUUCUAAACUUUUUGCUUAUUGAUAUUCUGACAGGCCAGAU